CAGCCGCCACGGUAAUACAGAGGGUGCAAGCGUUAAUCGGAAUUACUGGGCGUAAAGCGCGCGUAGGUGGUUUGUUAAGUUGGAUGUGAAAUCCCCGGGCUCAACCUGGGAACUGCAUCCAAAACUGGCAAGCUAGAGUAUGGUAGAGGGUGGUGGAAUUUCCUGUGUAGCGGUGAAAUGCGUAGAUAUAGGAAGGAACACCAGUGGCGAAGGCGACCACCUGGACUGAUACUGACACUGAGGUGCGAAAGCGUGGGGAGCAAACAGGAUUAGAGACCCCGGUAGUCCCUGUCUCUUAUAC
Molecule: ribosomal RNA, 301 nt
Filed under: uncultured bacterium
Lineage: Bacteria
Description: partial 16S ribosomal RNA
Rfam family: Bacterial small subunit ribosomal RNA
Source: RNAcentral